Molecule: long non-coding RNA, 362 nt
Filed under: Gouania willdenowi (blunt-snouted clingfish)
Lineage: Eukaryota; Metazoa; Chordata; Actinopteri; Blenniiformes; Gobiesocidae
Description: lncRNA (ENSGWIG00000012677.1)
Source: RNAcentral
CCCAGUCCCUCCUUCAGGAGGCGCGGAAUUCGUGCCCAGUUUGAGAAACCGGCAUGGCGGACGUUUCUUCUAAGUCCAGACUGAAACGAAAGAAGUCUUCUGUGGUAGAGCUACAGUCUGAUCAGUUAAAUCCGAAAGAUGAGAAAGCAACAUUAGCGCUGACAGUGAACUGUGCAGCCAUUACUGAAGGGCCAGUGGGCGGAGCCUCAGUGUGGUGGAACAGAGCACAGCCGCCUGCUGUGGAGAGCCUGUGGGCGUUUGCACUGAAGUCUGUCUUUCUUCCAUCCUCUACAAGCAAGCGCUUUGAUUGGCUGACGGAUCUCCCACUGCCAUCUGCAGUGGUGUUCACAGAUGGAGCGUGA